This 259-nucleotide unclassified non-coding RNA is filed under the name Hevea brasiliensis (rubber tree). Lineage: Eukaryota; Viridiplantae; Streptophyta; Magnoliopsida; Malpighiales; Euphorbiaceae. The record is from RNAcentral.
UGAACCUGAGGCUAUGUGUAGUAACAAUGUUGAGGAGUUUGAGUCCAGAAAAUUGAAGGAGGAUGAGGUCAUGGCAGCUUUGAGAGAUGACGAGGUUGCUAUUAUUGGGAUAUGUGGUAUGGGUGGAGUUGGUAAGACAACACUGACUGAGAAAAUCAGACAAAUGGCGAAAAAAGAAAGGUUGUUUAAAGAUGUUGUCAUGGUAAUUGUCAGUCAACAAAUAGACUUUAAAAGAAUUCAGGAUGAGAUUGCAGGAGGA